GGUAACUCCGGGCCAGCAGCGGGGGGAAGACGGAGGGUGCAAGGGUUAUCCGGAUUGACUGGGUUUAAAGGGUGCGUAGGCGGACAGGUAAGUCAGUGGUGAAAUCUCUGGGCUUAACUCAGAAACUGCCGUUGAUACUAUUUGUCUUGAAUAUCAUGGAGGUAAGCGGAAUAUGUCAUGUAGCGGUGAAAUGCUUAGAUAUGACAUAGAACACCGAUAGCGAAGGCAGCUUACUACAUGAUGAUUGACGCUGAGGCACGAAAGCGUGGGGAGCAAACAGGAUUAGAUACCCCAGUAGUC
This 300-nucleotide ribosomal RNA is filed under the name uncultured Thermodiscus sp. RNAcentral's name for it is "bacterial SSU rRNA". It matches the Rfam family "Bacterial small subunit ribosomal RNA", at positions 496 to 795 of the family's 1533-position model. The record is from RNAcentral. Lineage: Archaea; Thermoproteati; Thermoproteota; Thermoprotei; Acidilobales; Acidilobaceae.